RNAcentral lists this Y RNA (96 nucleotides) under Propithecus coquereli (Coquerel's sifaka). Its description in RNAcentral is "Y RNA (ENSPCOG00000000542.1)". It matches the Rfam family "Y RNA". Rfam says of the family: Y RNAs are components of the Ro ribonucleoprotein particle (Ro RNP), in association with Ro60 and La proteins. The Y RNAs and Ro60 and La proteins are well conserved, but the function of the Ro RNP is not known. Lineage: Eukaryota; Metazoa; Chordata; Mammalia; Primates; Indriidae. The record is from Rfam by way of RNAcentral.
GGCUGGUCCGAUGGUAGUGGGUUAUCAGAGCUUAUUAACAUUAGUGUCACUGAAGUUGGUAUUCAACCCCCCACUGCUAAAUUUGACUGGCUUUAA